UACGUAGGGUGCAAGCGUUGUCCGGAAUUAUUGGGCGUAAAGAGCUCGUAGGCGGUGUGUCACGUCGGCCGUGAAAACCUGCAGCUUAACUGUGGGCGUGCGGUCGAUACGGGCAUCACUGGAGUGCGGUAGGGGAGACUGGAAUUCCUGGUGUAGCGGUGAAAUGCGCAGAUAUCAGGAGGAACACCGGUGGCGAAGGCGGGUCUCUGGGCCGUAACUGACGCUGAGGAGCGAAAGCGUGGGGAGCGAACAGG
This 254-nucleotide ribosomal RNA is filed under the name uncultured bacterium. RNAcentral's name for it is "partial 16S ribosomal RNA". It matches the Rfam family "Bacterial small subunit ribosomal RNA", at positions 524 to 776 of the family's 1533-position model. The record is from RNAcentral.